UUACCAUGCAGUCGAACGCUGAAGCGACCAGCUUGCUGGUCGUGGAUGAGUGGCGAACGGGUGAGUAACACGUGAGUAACCUGCCCCUGACUUCGGGAUAAGCCUGGGAAACCGGGUCUAAUACCGGAUACGACCACCGAACGCAUGUUGGGUGGUGGAAAGUUUUUCGGUUGGGGAUGGGCUCGCGGCCUAUCAGUUAGUUGGUGAGGUAAUGGCUCACCAAGACGACGACGGGUAGCCGGCCUGAGAGGGCGACCGGCCACACUGGGACUGAGACACGGCCCAGACUCCUACGGGAGGCAGCAGUGGGGAAUAUUGCACAAUGGGGGAAACCCUGAUGCAGCGACGCAGCGUGCGGGAUGACGGCCUUCGGGUUGUAAACCGCUUUCAGCAGGGAAGAAGCGCAAGUGACGGUACCUGCAGAAGAAGUACCGGCUAACUACGUGCCAGCAGCCGCGGUAAUACGUAGGGUACGAGCGUUGUCCGGAAUUAUUGGGCGUAAAGAGCUCGUAGGUGGUUGGUCACGUCUGCUGUGGAAACGCAACGCUUAACGUUGCGCGGGCAGUGGGUACGGGCUGACUAGAGUGCAGUAGGGGAGUCUGGAAUUCCUGGUGUAGCGGUGAAAUGCGCAGAUAUCAGGAGGAACACCGGUGGCGAAGGCGGGACUCUGGGCUGUAACUGACACUGAGGAGCGAAAGCAUGGGGAGCGAACAGGAUUAGAUACCCUGGUAGUCCAUGCCGUAAACGUUGGGCACUAGGUGUGGGGGACAUUCCACGUUCUCCGCGCCGUAGCUAACGCAUUAAGUGCCCCGCCUGGGGAGUACGGCCGCAAGGCUAAAACUCAAAGGAAUUGAC
Molecule: ribosomal RNA, 855 nt
Filed under: Brevibacterium sp.
Lineage: Bacteria; Bacillati; Actinomycetota; Actinomycetes; Micrococcales; Brevibacteriaceae
Description: bacterial SSU rRNA
Rfam family: Bacterial small subunit ribosomal RNA
Source: RNAcentral